This 55-nucleotide transfer RNA is filed under the name Setaria digitata. RNAcentral describes it as "tRNA-Val". The record is from RNAcentral. Lineage: Eukaryota; Metazoa; Nematoda; Chromadorea; Rhabditida; Setariidae.
GAUCUUUUAGUUUAUUUUAGAAAUUUUUAUUUACAAAAAAAGGGGUAUUAGAUUU